This 301-nucleotide ribosomal RNA is filed under the name uncultured bacterium. RNAcentral describes it as "partial 16S ribosomal RNA". It matches the Rfam family "Bacterial small subunit ribosomal RNA", at positions 509 to 807 of the family's 1533-position model. The record is from RNAcentral.
CAGUAGCCGCGGGAAUACGUAGGUGGCAAGCGUUGUCCGGAAUUAUUGGGCGUAAAGGGCUCGCAGGCGGACUGAUAAGUCAGGGGUGAAAUCCCAAGGCUCAACCUUGGAACUGCCUUUGAUACUGUUUGUCUUGAGUUCGAGAGAGGUAAGUGGAACUGCGAGUGUAGAGGUGAAAUUCGUAGAUAUUCGCAAGAACACCAGUGGCGAAGGCGGCUCACUGGCUCGAAACUGACGCUGAGGCGCGAAAGCGUGGGGAGCAAACAGGAUUAGAUACCCGCGUAGUCCCUGUCUCUUAUAC